Molecule: ribosomal RNA, 1464 nt
Filed under: Mesorhizobium sp.
Lineage: Bacteria; Pseudomonadati; Pseudomonadota; Alphaproteobacteria; Hyphomicrobiales; Phyllobacteriaceae
Description: partial 23S ribosomal RNA
Rfam family: Bacterial large subunit ribosomal RNA
Source: RNAcentral
CCUGAGGAAAAGAAAUCAACCGAGAUUCCCUUAGUAGUGGCGAGCGAACGGGGACUAGCCCUUAAGCUUCUUUGAUUUUAGCGGAACGCUCUGGAAAGUGCGGCCAUAGUGGGUGAUAGCCCUGUACGCGAAAGGAUCUUAGAAGUGAAAUCGAGUAGGACGGAGCACGAGAAACUUUGUCUGAAUAUGGGGGGACCAUCCUCCAAGGCUAAAUACUACUGACUGACCGAUAGUGAACCAGUACCGUGAGGGAAAGGCGAAAAGAACCCCGGAGAGGGGAGUGAAAUAGAUCCUGAAACCGUAUGCGUACAAGCAGUGGGAGCAGACUUCGUUCUGUGACUGCGUACCUUUUGUAUAAUGGGUCAGCGACUUAUUUUCAGUGGCGAGCUUAACCGAAUAGGGGAGGCGUAGCGAAAGCGAGUCUUAAUAGGGCGUCUAGUCGCUGGGAAUAGACCCGAAACCGGGCGAUCUAUCCAUGGGCAGGUUGAAGGUUAGGUAACACUGACUGGAGGACCGAACCGACUACCGUUGAAAAGUUAGCGGAUGACCUGUGGAUCGGAGUGAAAGGCUAAUCAAGCUCGGAGAUAGCUGGUUCUCCUCGAAAGCUAUUUAGGUAGCGCCUCAUGUAUCACUGUAGGGGGUAGAGCACUGUUUCGGCUAGGGGGUCAUCCCGACUUACCAAACCGAUGCAAACUCCGAAUACCUACAAGUGCCGAGCAUGGGAGACACACGGCGGGUGCUAACGUCCGUCGUGAAAAGGGAAACAACCCAGACCGUCAGCUAAGGUCCCAAAGUUAUGGUUAAGUGGGAAACGAUGUGGGAAGGCUUAGACAGCUAGGAGGUUGGCUUAGAAGCAGCCACCCUUUAAAGAAAGCGUAAUAGCUCACUAGUCGAGUCGGCCUGCGCGGAAGAUGUAACGGGGCUCAAACCAUACACCGAAGCUACGGGUAUCACGUAAGUGAUGCGGUAGAGGAGCGUUCUGUAAGCCUGUGAAGGUGAGUUGAGAAGCUUGCUGGAGGUAUCAGAAGUGCGAAUGCUGACAUGAGUAACGACAAUGGGUGUGAAAAACACCCACGCCGAAAGACCAAGGUUUCCUGCGCAACGUUAAUCGACGCAGGGUUAGUCGGUCCCUAAGGCGAGGCUGAAAAGCGUAGUCGAUGGAAAACAGGUUAAUAUUCCUGUACUUCUGGUUAUUGCGAUGGAGGGACGGAGAAGGCUAGGCCAGCUUGGCGUUGGUUGUCCAAGUUUAAGGUGGUAGGCUGAAAUCUUAGGUAAAUCCGGGAUUUCAAGGCCGAGAGCUGAUGACGAGUUACCCUUUGGGUGACGAAGUGGUUGAUGCCAUGCUUCCAAGAAAAGCUUCUAAGCUUCAGAUAACCAGGAACCGUACCCCAAACCGACACAGGUGGUUGGGUAGAGAAUACCAAGGCGCUUGAGAGAACUCGGGUGAAGGAACUAGGCAAAAUG